This 457-nucleotide ribosomal RNA is filed under the name uncultured bacterium. Its description in RNAcentral is "bacterial SSU rRNA". It matches the Rfam family "Bacterial small subunit ribosomal RNA", at positions 9 to 507 of the family's 1533-position model. The record is from RNAcentral.
AGUAGUUUGAUCAGUGGCUCGAGAACGAACGCUGGCGGCAGGCUUAACACAUGCAAGUCGAACGGUUGUAGCAAUACAGCAGUGGCGGACGGGUGAGUAACACGUGGGAACCUUCCUAGGGGUACGGAACAACUCAGGGAAACUUGAGCUAAUACCGUAUACGUCCGUGAGGAGAAAGAUUUAUCGCCCUUAGACGGGCCCGCGUCGGAUUAGCUAGUUGGUGGGUAACGGCCUACCAAGGCGACGAUCCGUAGCUGAUCUUAGAGGAUGAUCAGCCACACUGGGACUGAGACACGGCCCAGACUCCUACGGGAGGCAGCAGUGGGGAAUCUUGGACAAUGGGCGCAAGCCUGAUCCAGCCAUGCCGCGUGAGUGAAGAAGGUCUUCGGAUUGUAAAGCUCUUUUGCCAGGGACGAUAAUGACGGUACCUGGAGAAUAAGCCCCGGCAAACUUCGUG